AUCGGCUCCUUGCGCGCCGCGCGUGAGACGUGUGUUGGGCGUGAACCCUAGCCCCCCAAUCCAGAGCCGCCACACCUUCCCCCUCCUCAUUCCCUCGUCCGCCGCCGCACUCCCUCCCUCCUCCCUCGUCGCCACACCCUCCGCCCUAGCACCGCGCGCUCGUUCUGUCGUCUCAUAUACCAUCGCUGCCGGCCCCUGCCAUGGUGUCGCGGCGCUCUUCCUGCGCCCUCACGUCCGACCUCACCAGGUCCUCGAUCUCAGCCUCAUCGGCUUGCUGCGGCGGCCGCUCUCGACGCCGUCCUUGCGACACGACAGCGGCAAACCCGAGCGCCGACAGCUAAUGUGGUGGUGCAGCGGACGGCGGCCUCAGCGGGCGAGCGACGGAGACUGCAACUAGUGCACGAGCUCGGACCUCAAUGUGUCCGUGCUUGAAUAGCUCGCAUCUUCACGGCCACCAAGUGCAAAGGCUAGUAGUUAAAUUUUCUACGGAUGAGUCCUUGUCGGAUGGAUGGUGACUAACGAGAUGCACUUCUUUGCCACAAGUAAUUUUAAUAAAGGGAUUGUGUACAAGUGUUCAGAUCUUUUCUUGUGAGAAGGAUGCACAAAAUCAAGUUUUUUGUCGGUAGGAGCUUUUUUCGCUGUCCAACUGUUCAGUUCCACUGGAACAAGGGGUCCACUGGACUUCUAUUGUUUCCGAACUUGAUGUGGAUAAAAUCAACCAGAGUAUUAUGGUGAAACCAAGUUUCACCACUUGACAACUUACAGGGCCUUUCAAGGAAUUCUUCCUGUCAAAAAUGAGGGGCCAAUGUAUGAUGUUCAGUGAUCUUCUUCAGGUUCUGAAUUUGUUGUGGUCUAUGGAUAUAUCCUUACAUCGUCCUUACAUGAACCAUAACAUUUCUAGUUUAAUGUCUUUGUUUUCUACAACUGUUCCUUGACUAAAUCUUGGUUAGGCUGGCCAGAGCACCAAUAUUCAGCCAAAAAUGCAUUCCUCUUCACGAGCUUGGUGAAGGCCAUUAUAAUACGAUAAGAUGGAAUCCUGAAGGGCGAUCUUUCUGGGACUAUUCAGAAAGAAAUUAGUAGGGAAAACAAAGGCUAAAUGGCAUGUGCGAUGGUCGCCAUUUUCUGAUAGUCACUACAGCUCCAAGGCUUCAAAUAGAUAAUGAGUACAUUUCCUGCAACUUUAGCAUGAUAAUGGAAAUGGUGGAGGAUCCUUACAUGAUUAUCUUCAUAUUUCCUGGUGCAGUUUAAGAAGAUGUGUCGAAAAACUGUAUCAGGUAUGUCGACAGCAUAACAUGUUUCUCUGUAAUCUAUAUCCCUUGUUGGUACUAAAAAAUUUGCGACAUGUCGAAGAAAUAAAUAUGCAAGCCCUCACAUUGCCCUCAUGAUUGUUGCUUCUGAAUUGUACAUGUUGAAUAGAAGCCAGAAUAUCCUGAAAGACUUGGUGACAUUGCUGACCUCACAAUAUCUUUGUAUAGCAUAAAAAUGAAGAAACAAAGAAGUAAUGUUCCAGUAUAUUUGCAGAGGUGAAAUAUUAACGCCAGUUCGAGCACACCGGCCUCGAUGGCAAGAGACCACUACCAUCAGUGUAGUGGUAUAGCAUAGUGUGAGCAAUCAGGAACAAAAACAGGAGGUUUAAUUUUCACAAAUCGGUACUGCAUAUUUUUCAGAAGAUAUGCAUUGUGAUUGAACAUGAGAAAUCCUUUACCUCCCUGUACUUCAAGGUGUGUUCUGCUCUAAAAUGACAAGCACCCAACGAAGUGAGAGCGCAAACCACAUGUUGAAGAGUUAUAUGCCACCUGCUAGCCCGAUGCACAUUUUUUUGAGGCAGUAUAUGAGGCUCCAGUUUGACCGUGGGAGGGAGGAAAGUUACGAAAGGACUAUUUGUCAGAAAAACUGAUGGAGGUGUCAUCAGGAGAGCAAAUCUGGCAAAUGGCAAUAGAGCAGCAUGCAAGCAAAGUGUACACUCGUGCUAUGUUUUGGAGCCCCGUCGAAAGGUUUGGAGGCCCAGGAAGGUAGUGUUGGGGCGUCCGUCGGCGUGAAUGCGCUUCAAUGACUAGCACCACCGGAGUAGCAGAGAGGUGUAGGGAGGCCGUCGAACAGCCGGGAGAAAGCACCACACGAGGGUCUGAGCAAGCAUACCAGGUUUUGCAGCAUCUGCCCGCGUGAAGGCCACAAGCAGACGACAUGCCCUGAUCGUGGAGAUGCACCUAAACAGCCCCGCAAACCCGGAAAGUGCAAGAACUGUUGAAUGGAAAGGCGCCGCAGGAACACGUGCACACGCCUACUGGGUGGUGCACAGAUGUAGUCUAGAAGAUUUAAAAUUUCGUGUGUAAUGUGUGAUUCAAGGAUUUUCUGGUGUGUGUUGUGAGCCAUGCUCCACGAUUGUUCCUCCAGUGCUUAAUCUUAGUGCUGUUGUAUUCCAUAGUGUUGUAUGGUAAGUCCGUAACUCAACAGAACUUCACAAUUAUGAUAGAAGAAAUGUUGGGCGUGACAUCUACAUUUUCCAAUC
Triticum dicoccoides is the source of this 2509-nucleotide long non-coding RNA. RefSeq lists it as uncharacterized. NCBI's taxonomy places the organism in Eukaryota, Viridiplantae, Streptophyta, Magnoliopsida, Poales, Poaceae. The transcript is spliced from 8 exons. The record is from RefSeq and is a predicted model, not a curated record.